This 497-nucleotide ribosomal RNA is filed under the name uncultured bacterium. RNAcentral's name for it is "partial 16S ribosomal RNA". It matches the Rfam family "Bacterial small subunit ribosomal RNA", at positions 28 to 507 of the family's 1533-position model. The record is from RNAcentral.
GACGAACGCUGGCGGCGUGCCUAAUACAUGCAAGUUGAGCGCUGAAGGUUGGUACUUGUACCAACUGGAUGAGCAGCGAACGGGUGAGUAACGCGUGGGGAAUCUGCCUUUGAGCGGGGGACAACAUUUGGAAACGAAUGCUAAUACCGCAUAAAAACUUUAAACACAAGUUUUAAGUUUGAAAGAUGCAAUUGCAUCACUCAAAGAUGAUCCCGCGUUGUAUUAGCUAGUUGGUGAGGUAAAGGCUCACCAAGGCGAUGAUACAUAGCCGACCUGAGAGGGUGAUCGGCCACAUUGGGACUGAGACACGGCCCAAACUCCUACGGGAGGCAGCAGUAGGGAAUCUUCGGCAAUGGACGAAAGUCUGACCGAGCAACGCCGCGGGAGUGAAGAAGGGUCUCGGAUCGUAAAACUCUGUUGGUAGAGAAGAAAGUUGGUGAGAGUGGAAAGCUCAUCAAGUGACGGUAACUACUCAGAAAGGGACGGCUAACUACGUG